Molecule: ribosomal RNA, 1035 nt
Filed under: Biatriospora peruviensis
Lineage: Eukaryota; Fungi; Ascomycota; Dothideomycetes; Pleosporales; Biatriosporaceae
Description: eukaryotic LSU rRNA
Rfam family: Eukaryotic large subunit ribosomal RNA
Source: RNAcentral
CGAGUGAAGCGGCAACAGCUCAAAUUUGAAAUCUGGCCCUUUCAGGGUCCGAGUUGUAAUUUGUAGAGGGCGCUUUGGUGUUGGCUGCGGUCUAAGUUCCUUGGAACAGGACGUCACAGAGGGUGAGAAUCCCGUACGUGGUCGACAGCCUCCACCGUGUAAAGCCCCUUCGACGAGUCGAGUUGUUUGGGAAUGCAGCUCUAAAUGGGAGGUAAAUUUCUUCUAAAGCUAAAUACUGGCCAGAGACCGAUAGCGCACAAGUAGAGUGAUCGAAAGAUGAAAAGCACUUUGGAAAGAGAGUCAAAAAGCACGUGAAAUUGUUGAAAGGGAAGCGCUUGCAAUCAGACUUGCCCGCAGUUGCUCAUCCAGGCUCGCGCCUGGUGCACUCUUCUGCGGGCAGGCCAGCAUCAGUUCAGGCGGCUGGAUAAAGGCCUCUAUCACGUAUCUUCCUUCGGGUUGACCUUAUAGGGGAGGCGCAAUGCAGCCAGCCUGGACUGAGGUCCGCGCAUUCGCUAGGAUGCUGGCGUAAUGAUUGUAAGCGGCCCGUCUUGAAACACGGACCAAGGAGUCUAACAUCUAUGCGAGUGUUUGGGUGUCAAGCCCGGACGCGCAAUGAAAGUGAACGGAGGUGGGAACCCUCGCGGGUGCACCAUCGACCGAUCCUGAUGUCUUCGGAUGGAUUUGAGUAAGAGCAUAGCUGUUGGGACCCGAAAGAUGGUGAACUAUGCCUGAAUAGGGUGAAGCCAGAGGAAACUCUGGUGGAGGCUCGCAGCGGUUCUGACGUGCAAAUCGAUCGUCAAAUUUGGGCAUAGGGGCGAAAGACUAAUCGAACUAUCUAGUAGCUGGUUCCUGCCGAAGUUUCCCUCAGGAUAGCAGUAACGUUUUCAGUUUUAUGAGGUAAAGCGAAUGAUUAGAGGCCUGGGGGUUGAAACAACCUUCACCUAUUCUCAAACUUUAAAUAUGUAAGAAGUCCUUGUUACUUAAUUGAACGUGGACAUUUGAAUGUACCGUUACUAGUGGGCCAUUUUUGGUAAG